UAGAUUCAUUAUCAUUCACCUUAAUUGGAGGCUAUGAUCUAGUUAUCCCCAUAACUAGCUCAUUUUAUGGACCUAAUAAUUUAGAGAAUUUGAUUAAGUCUUUUAGAAGAUAUUAGUCGAUCUACAAAUCAUAAAUCCUCCCACUGACUUCAUCAAGUCAUGAAAAAGACUAGUGACUAGCAGGUCUAACCAACAUGUCGUAAAUCCUCUCAAUGACUUCACCAAUCCAUG
Molecule: long non-coding RNA, 231 nt
Filed under: Elaeis guineensis (African oil palm)
Lineage: Eukaryota; Viridiplantae; Streptophyta; Magnoliopsida; Arecales; Arecaceae
Description: long non-coding RNA (EGUI_LNC065571)
Source: RNAcentral